Molecule: ribosomal RNA, 270 nt
Filed under: uncultured soil bacterium
Lineage: Bacteria
Description: partial 16S ribosomal RNA
Rfam family: Bacterial small subunit ribosomal RNA
Source: RNAcentral
AGAAUCAACGCUGGCGGCGUGCCUCAGACAUGCAAGUCGAACGCGAAAGUCCCCUUCGGGGGACAAGUAGAGUGGCGCACGGGUGAGUAACACGUAGGUAAUCUACCUUUGGAUGGGGAAUAACAACCGGAAACGGUUGCUAAUACCGCAUAAUGCAGCGGCACCUAAUGGUGACAGUUGUUAAAGCGGGGGAUCGAAAGACCUCGCGUCUGAAGAGGAGCCUGCGGCGGAUUAGCUAGUUGGUAAGGUAAUGGCUUACCAAGGCUACGA